ACCCAACUGACGAGUUCCAAAUAGGACGAAACGUGCGUCCUGGAC
Molecule: non-coding RNA, 45 nt
Filed under: Schistosoma margrebowiei
Lineage: Eukaryota; Metazoa; Platyhelminthes; Trematoda; Strigeidida; Schistosomatidae
Source: RNAcentral